Non-coding RNA from Phrynosoma platyrhinos (Desert horned lizard), 71 nucleotides. The record is from the annotation of a GenBank genome assembly. NCBI's taxonomy places the organism in Eukaryota, Metazoa, Chordata, Lepidosauria, Squamata, Phrynosomatidae.
GCCAGUGUGGCAUAGUGGUCUGAAUGUUGGACUACAACUCUGAGACCAGGGUUCAAUUCUCAGCUCAGCCA